GUGGGGUUGUAGGGGCGCAAGGAGGCGGGAGGGUGGAGGCGAGGGCCGGGGGUGGGGCGCCUCCGCCCGCCAGCCGCUCCCGCAUUAAAAUUUCAUGGGCGCUGCAGCAGCUACAAAGACGACGCCGGCUGCGCUCGGGGGACCAGAGGGAGGGAGGCUGCGGACGAGUGCUGGGAGGAGUUUGAGAUGGGAGGCGCUUGCAGGGGCUCCCCCAGUUCUGCGCUGUGAGCCGGGGCACAAAGAGCGCUCUGCACUCGCGCCGCAGGACCGCGGACCCGAGUUGGAGGCAUCUGUCCACCCAUGUGGUUCCAGACACGUUCAUGUGGCCACCACGACCCUGUUUGCAUCACAGGAGUAACCAAGAGAGCAGCAAGUUCCUGGCACAGAGGAGACAGAAGGGAAUUUCCCAGUUCUUCAGGACGUUCACAACCACACUGAGAAGCAUCCUUGCAGAUAAGUAUUUAAACUUACCAGGCCAUAGCCUACCAGCCUGCCCUCUUCUGGUCUGUGCAGGGAAGUGUAGUAUCCUAGAAUCCCAAAGUGGGAGGGGAAAUGGGUGAUGUAGCUCAUUCUCUUUUCUACGUCUAUGGAAGAAAGAAAGAGCUUGUCCCCAUUUUGUGGGGUCCCAGAAAGGGUGAUUUUCACACUCCACAUUUGGCAUUAGGGCUAGUAUUUUACAAACGUCACCGUCUGGAACUUUUGAAGGCUGAGUUAAAUGACUUCACACCUUGUGUACUUGUAGAACUGCUAUUAGGAGGAAGCUGGGGACUCCCUGGUAAUGUGAACUGGCCCUUUUCAAUUUUGGUGUUUUGUGAUCAUAUUUAUAAACCUUGGCUAGAGCUCCUUGGCCUUGCAGUUAAGUGAAGAGUUAGCAGUGUGACUUUAGAUGCAUUUUUCUCAGUGCAAGUGUCUGAGUUCACCUCCAGUUCUGAACUCGUGCCCCCACUCCCAGGUGCUGACCGAAAGCUUUGAAGAUAUGCUGAGAUGGCUCCCUGACAAUCCUGAUUCAGGUCUGUCAGUUGAUGAAGACAGUGUAGUUGUCACCAAAGGCAAAACCUGGCAGAUGGUCCUAGGUCAGGAUUAGUGGUCAUUCUCUGGUCUUCUCCAGACUGGUGACACAGGGUGGUCUUAAAAGAGUCCUACUCCAGCCUCUGGCUCCCCAAAUUUCCUCUGGUGCAUGGGGCAUCAGGAAAGGGCAGGGGAGAAGGAGGGGGAGCAGAAAAAUUACUGUUGGGCAGCAAGGUCCCUUCUAUUUCCCCAUCCAUUGCUUCAAACAAUGGGUGAUUAUUGUGCACCUUGAGUGAAUGUCAAGGCAGGAAGAGUCCCAGAGCCACCCAGUGUGGCAGGAGCAGAGCUGGGAUCAGAAUUCUGGAUUCUUGACUCUCCGUUCAGCUGCAAUUCAGCUGUCACCAAGCUGCUGAGUUUGUCCUCCUUUCUCCCGGGUCGCAUUCUGCUGUUGUCGGGAAACAGGGAGUGAGUGAAGGGAACCCGGGAACCCCUCUCCCCUCACCUUUUAAGGAUGUUCUGGGGUGGAAUAAAGGGAGGUGGAGGGUGGGGUGCCUGGAUCCAGCCUCACUGGCUCCUGGUCCUUCUUUCUUCGGCAGGGAGUUUUGGCAAGGCCUGGGCCUGGGGAGGGGGCCUGGGUGCGGUUUUCUCCUGCGGUGUGGUUGGCUCUUUUGUCUUCCAGGAUGGGCCUGUGGGGUCUGUGUGGGGAAGGAAGGAGCUGGGAGCCUGGACUGCCUAUGUGUCUGCUGGAUGCUGCCAGCACCGGAAUGGACCAAGCAACUUCUCCGAGCCAGAUGCUGGAGAUGCAGAAGUGAACCCAGAGACAUGAUCCCAUCUGCUCGGAUCUUCAUGUCAGAACACGCUUUAUUACAGUCUCGGCGAGGCGGUGGCUCCAUCUGGGCCGGAUCUCCAGGACUCCUGGCCUGGCCUUCUCUUUGGACCUCGGGUGACCCUGGACUCUGGCCACAGUAACUUAGCGGGCAGACUCCGGUGGUUUUCUAGCCCCCUGGGUGACUCCCUGAAGAUCUCACCCUCCUCACCUGUUGGGAUGGAGCCUCCCAUGGAUGGGAGCUCUUCCUGGCUGAUGCUCAGUGGACGACUGGAUCUGGCUCUGGAGGAUGACUCCAGGGGUAUGAGGGAGGCCUGGCAGCCCACUACUCCCUCCUCACCUGCUCGGGCCCUGCCUGCUGGGCCCUAUUGUCUGGGUCUGGGGGCCCUUUCCUGACCCCAUGUGAACUUGAUUCCUCCUUGUGUUUCUGCCGGUGACCAGACAGUGCCUGGCCUGGGCCGAGGCCCCACUGACCACACUCUCCCCAAGGCUGGGUCUCAAAGGACCCUACAGGAUGGGGACAGGAACAUGAUGGAAGUCAGGGAGGGGCUGUCAGGGAGAGGGCAGACACAGUUCCUCCAGUGCCGCUGGCUGGAGUCCUUUGUCUCCGUUUGCUCUGUGCGUAAUUGUCAUUUUGUGGGGCUUCCUUGGUGGGGCUUUUCCAUGCUUUUCCUCUCCCUAAUGGUUACAAAGAGGAGACAGUCAGGAUCUGGGAGGAGCUGGAGCCUUCCCCCUGUGCUGUUGAACUUGGGAGGGGCAGCUAGAGGGACUGAGUGUGCACCAUCCUGAAAAGAGAAGGUCUUUAAGAGAUAAGAUCUAGGCCAGGGAAAUUCACUAGAAAGAGACAGGCGGCCCUGGGUUUUUUUCCUGCCAUCCAAAGGGAACCAGUCUUACCCAAAGGAUUGAGGGGUCACCUUAGCCCAAUCUCAGGACACUCUUCUCCAAUCAGAUCCCUGCUUCCAGCUGCACUACUCCUGGAUUGUGUUCUUGGGGAGCAGAAGGUGGCAGGACAGGCCCCACAAUCCACAAUUCCAGCUCCCUCCAGAGGGGUCAGUCCCAGUGUCUGCAAGAGAGCGGCUUGUGGCCUCCCUCAGGCAAGUUUAAAAGCCAGAUGUCCUUUUUCCCAGAAAGGGGAGUGGUGUGUACUAUUCAUUGGCUUGGGCUGCCACAGCACCGUGCCACAGACUGGAUGGCUUAAACAUCAGGAAUUUAUUUUCUCCCAGUUCUGGAGGCUGGAAAGUCCAUGUUAGAGUUGGUUUCUGGUGAGGCCUCUCUCCUUGGCUUGCAGGUGGCAGCUUCUUGCUAUGUCCUCACAUGGCCUUUUCUCUGUGGAGAGGGACAGAGAGCACGAGCAAGCUCUGGUGUCUCCUCCUCUUCUUAUAAAGACAUUAAUACCAUCAAAUUAGGGCUCAACCCUAGGGACUCAUUUAACCUUAACCCCUUAAAAGUCCCAUCUCCAAAAACAGUCACAUAGUAAGCUACUGCUUCAACACAUGCAUUUGGGGGAGGGGACUCCAUUCAGUCCUUAGCAGGGUGGUCACCGCAAACAUGGAAAGUCAGAGCCAUCUCCCCUUCAGAAUUCCCGCCCCCCACCCAGGGAUGGGGAAGAGGAGCAGAGGUAUGGGAAGCAGACACUGAGAGUGGCAGGUACCAGGCUGGGGUGGCUCGGAGUGCUUCGGAGGACAUAUGGAACUGGCUGGGCUCAGUGUGGGGAGGCGGAGCCCCUGGGAGAGCCGUGUCCUGAGAAGGGCCUGGGCUACAACCCUGGGCAAGUUACUUCACCUCUGAGCCUCCACUGCUCUGUGAAAUGGAAGGCAUGUGCCCGCCUGUCAGGUGCAGGGAGGAUUCAGUGAGGUCGUGUGCCUAGCACUGUGCCUGACUCCCAGCAGAUAUUCAGUAAAUGCUCCUAUCCAUCUGGGAGUAUAGACUUAGGGUUUAUCUUUUUUUUUUUUUUUUUUUUUUUUUGGCCCUCUGGACUUCAAAACUCAGCAUCUUCUGAUCCAGAGGCAUUUCUGAUUAGCCUUUCCCUACCUAUUUUUCUAAUAUCACUCUUUAAUCAGCUUGGGGAGGUGGCAGCAUUUCAUGGCCUCCAUAGUAACUCAGAAUGCUUCCUGGAGUAUUUGAAUUCUACUCUCUCAUCAGCACUGAGCACCUACUUUGGGCCCUUUCCCGUGCUAGCCAUUUGGGGGAAACAUAGGUGAAGAGUGCCAGGGUUCGAACCUUUAGGAUUUCACAGCCAUGCUGGAUGGGAUAAAACCAGCUCACAUGGAGAAUCAGAGACUGGGACAGUGCCAUGAAACUGUCUAUUAAGGCACAAGUUCUGAGUGCUUGGGAAGUGGGAGACAGACCCCAGAGAGGGCUGCUGCAGUCUGGAACAGCUUCCUAGCAAGCUGUACCAACCAGAGCCUUGAAGGAUGAGAAAGAUCUGACUGAGAUGAGACCUGACCCUCUAAAUUCCCAAAAUAAGUUCUAGGAAAUGUCAUCAUUGCUUUUUUUUUAAAAAAAAAAAAAAGAAAAGAAAAAGAAAGGCAGGUUCAAAUUCAAAUUCUGCUGCAAAAUUUCAGACACUCAGGGACAGGGCAUAGGAUGAAGUGUUCCUUGACUUUUAUGGCCGUAGAAUCCAUUUCUCAUGGAACAUCGUUUAGAACUGUGGGAGAUGCUAGGCCGGGGUUUCUAUGGGAAAAGUACAGCAGUGAUAGAAGAUGGCAUAAUUAGGGUACACUUAGGUGCUUUGUAGCAUGGGCUGAAAAGGAAGCCGACCGGGAGGGUGUGGGGAGUCUCAACUUGGUUCCAGGAGCCAGGCCAGCUUGAUGCAGUUUUUUUUUGUUUUGUUUUUUGUUAUUGUUUUUCUUUUUUAGAGGGGGAGGGCAGGCCAAUAGUUGGAGCAACUAGAGGCCUGACAGUCGGUGAUGGAAGAGAUGCCUACUGAGCACAGGUGUCAGAUCUUUUGCGGAGAGAUGCUGGUGUGCGUGUGUCUAUGCCAGAGUGUAACAGGAUCCAGCCCUCUGGGGAGGGGCUGACCAGAACUAGGCAGGGGGUUUCUAGCCAGGACAAGUCGGGUCUAUUUUCAAGGGAGCUGAAAUAUUUGCAGGGGGUGCUCUGAGACCCACAGCCAAUAAAUAGGGAAGCGACACGCUUUUGAGCAGGGUCCAUGUGGUUAGGGUUGAUUUUGAUGGGGCUGAGGGGCUUAGAGGUAGACCCCCUGCCCUGGUCAGGCCCCACUCCCUGGCUGGUGGGGGCGGGAGGCCUCUGGAGCUGCAGCUGGAGGGGCCGGGGCAAUGUUGCAUGGUGUGAUUAACCUACUAACCCAGGGCUCAGCCGGGACGCUGUGGCGUGUGGCGAGGUGCCUGGCCUUCUGCCAACCAACUAACCCACUAACCAGGCCCGAGCAUGCCCUACUAACCACCCCCCGCAGCCAGAUCCUACUAACCAUGCAGCUCAUGGGCCUUUCAAGGGGCUGGGAUAUGGGGGCAGCCAAGGCUCCAGAAGGCUCUGCCUAUGGGCUGGGAUCUUUGUGCAGACCCACGUUCCAGGACAGGGAAUGCAAAUAAGACUCACUAACUCUGCCACUUCCUGUUGGGUGACUUUGAGUAAGUCAUCUCACUUCUCUCAACCUCAGUUUCCUCAGUGGUAGAAUGCGAGUUCUGAUACCUCACAGGUUGCAGUGAGGAUUCCCGUGAAUAUAAGGAUCUUGGCACAUGGCAGAUACUUUUCUAAAAAAAUGUAUGAGGGUGGAGGAAGGCCCCCCAAACCUGGUUGAACACGUCUGCUGCCUAGGCCCUGGCCUCUCUGGGUGUUCUGCACACAGAUCCUUCUGCCUGGGGCAAGACACUUGCUUUGAAUCCUUGACUGUCACUUCCCCACAUUCUUCCUCCGUCUCAGCUUUCUUUUCUGUAGGCAACUCUUUUGUUCGAUUACUAACCCCUCUAACCCCGGGGUACCUCAACUGCACCCCGAUCAUCCCUUAACAAACUAACGGACCUGCGUGCGUUCUUCCUUUUCUCCUAGCGACUCCUGUGUGUGUCUGCUGAGGUGCCCUGUCCGCUGGUGCUGUGCUCUGACUUACUAACCCAGCCCCUACUAACCCUGUUUUCUCUUCUUACUAACCCCAGCCCUGCCGAGCUCUGGGCUCCCCCCGGGGGCUGGUCCCCCUCCUUUUGGCAAACAGAUGACUUGGGACUACUGGCCCUGUAUACAGAUGUCCCACUUUGCUGCCCCAUAUUGGCUGUUUGUAAGAUCAGAGUCCACUGGGCCAGGUUUAAGGCAGGGGAUGGCCCUAUUAACAAGACUCAGAGGAGGAGGAGGUGGUCCUGUGGAUGGGGGAGGCUGGACUCUGAGUAUGACAUCUCUCCUCUGUGCAGAAGUCUGGUUGCCACUGGGAGUAGGUGGGACCAGGGAAACCUCUGGGACGUGAGUGUGGAGGCCUGUGGGUCUAGACACUAGACUGUGGAGCUCUGAGCUUUUGUGUCCUUCUCUGGAAGGAAGCUGGGGAAGAAUCUUCUCCAUUGUUAAGUGACAGGGAUAGAAGCUGUCCUGCACAGGAAGAGGGGGGCGUGUCCCACGAGGAAGGCAGGAGGGGUCGUGCCCGUCACCGGAAAUUAGCAGAGGGGCGUGUCCCACACCUGAAUUCAGAAAGCGGAGCCUUUCUUACACCGGAAGUCAAUGAAGCGGGUCUUUCCCACGCUAAAAACCACUGAGUGGAGUAUUUAGUACACAGGAAGUCGGUCAGAGGAACACUUCCCAUGUUUGAAAGCCGAGAAGAGGGACGUUUCUGACACCAGAAGUCAGUGAGAGGGCUCUUUCCCACACAGGAAGUCAGCUAGAGAGGCCUCUUCCAUCUCUGGAGCUGAGAGAGGAGGGUUUCCCCCACCGGAAGUAGACGUGGGGCCGUGACCGGAAGUCAUUGGGGAAGAUCCAUUCCACGCACGGAAGGUAGAGGGCGUUAGUUGUCCUGUUGAAAAGGAGGGUUGGGAAGGGGAAGCAACUUUACCCCGGGCUCGGAGUUUGCAGGAGAGAGAAGUGGGGAGCAAGAAAUGAACUUCUGGGGCUCACAGGGUUCCCGCAGCUGCUCAGGCCUGCCAGGAAUGCAUCCCUGGCUUUCUGUUCCCACCCACGUCCCUGCCUCAGCCAGCCUCCCCCAGAGCCCGCCAGCCGCUCAGCCAGGGCCACACCUGGGGGUGAUUUCAUGCCUCACCUCCAGUAGGCACCUUGGUUUCUUUGGGUUAAUCUCUGGCUCCCUUGCACUAACUCUUGCUCUCACCCAGCUAAUCCCUGCCUCACCCUGACUGCCCCAGGGGCUGACCACUAACAACCAACCUGGUGUGUCUGGGGGCUCCAGGCUCCUGGCCUGGCCCUGACCGGCUCUUAAUUAACCUUUCCUUCACCUUUACUAACUCCUGCCUUCCUGGUCUGUUCCUUUCAGCAGAAACUAAUGGCUUGUGGAUUUCUUUCUGACUAACAACAGGUCUAACAUUCCUUGUUACUGUUAAUUAACAGCUUGGAUGUCGGCAUGGCUGGAAAGGGGCUAACACCGGUUUGAACUUGACUAGCACAGGGAAAAGUGUAGAUAAUUUUAAACGUGGUGGCUGCUCUGAGUCAGAGCAAUCAGAAGUCGAUAAAGAUGGUAGUUUUCUAAGGGAGGUGCCAGGGCUCAAGUGUGGACCAGGCCUGAUGGAGCAAAUGGUACCCAUCAAGUUGGGGUCAGAAGUAUAGCCAGUCUUGCAAGGUUUUGGCCACUGGGUAUGUCUUCACUCCUCGUGAUCUGCAUUUGGUUUCAGUUCUUUAAACAAUAUAGCCUUAUAGCUCCAAUAGUUUGCACAAGUAGAUGCAGCUCUUAUAAACCUUAAAAUACCUGUCUGGUGUCUACAGAGCAUAUGCCAUUUUGUGUAGAGUCACCCGUCCCCAGGCCAGGGCCUAGAGUCUUCGUUUGGGGACGUUGUGUUUUGGAAGCUCUAGGACAUAAAGCGUUAGAUCAGAGUGUUCAGAAGGGUUAUAAUUCCAUCCGUCAUUUACAUGUUAGUAGUAUAAACUGUCUGAGCUUCCUCUUCUAACUUUUAGCUCUUCUAGCAUAAACUCUUCUGUGCAAUUUAGCUGCACCGAGGAAACGGGAGUUUUUCUGGAAGGGACUUUGAUCUCUUUAGACUUAGGGAACGUCCUUUGGGAGUAGAAGGGCAGGGAGCAUAAGCCAGGGAUUCCAGGUGCAGGUAAGAGGUGGCACUAGGUCAAGGUUUUGCUGGCUUAGUCUGGAAGUCAGGGUCUGUGGGAGAAGACAGCUCAAGGCAGGGCCUGGAGGAUUGGAUCAAUUUAGGGAUAGGUCAAAGGCUGGCUUGGAGGCCUUACAGGCAGGUUGCUUGGGUCAUUGAAUCCUAGUCCCAUGCUGAGGGCCCUUUUCUCUGGUAACUGUGGACUCAGAGCUAACCGAUUGUAGUUGGCAGUAAGGGCCGAAGGGUGAUCCAGAGGCUUGAGCUGCAGAGGGCACAAGAGAGAAAAGAUGUCUUAGGAAGAGCUCUGAGAAGAUGCCUUGGCUGCUGGCAGGGACCUUGGAUGGGGUAGAGUCUACACCCAGGAAGUGCCUGCCUGCCACCCUCUAGUGGCUGCCUUACCCCAUUUCACUCAAAGCAGGAAGCUCAGAAACCCCUCCUAUUCCUGAAACUCCUCUGUUUAACUGCAAAGAUUUGAUGCUGCUAAGGACCUACUAUGUGUCAGGCACUGCUCUGGGCGCUGGGACCUGCACCUGGGCUUUUUCAUCAUUGUGCUUUUAGAUCCUAGUGGGAGAGUUGGUGAAGUAGAUAGUGAUUCAGUGAGAUGGUGUUAUGAUGGGUCAGGGGACUUGGGAACACGCAGGAGACGGACAACAUUGAUGUGCACCUACUCUGUGCCAGUCAUGUGCCAGGCAUUGGAGAUGUAGUGGUAGUUAAACACCAUUUGGUCUUUAGGAGCUUUAAUUCUAGUGUGUUGGGUGGGUACAGGGGGGUGGAAUGGGGACAGAGAGACACCUAAUCCACCCUGGGGUGGCUUUCUGGAGAGGCCUCUAAGCUGAGCUCUGGCUGGGUGGAGUGUGGGUGGGGUUGAGUUCCAGGCAGUGAGAGUGGUGCACACCAGUUUCUGGGGAUCAGAGAGGAUCCAAAGAGGUUCUGGAAGGUUCAUGUGGAAUGUAGCAAGAGAUAGGGGAAAUGUGCAUGGUUCCGGGUCUGGUUGCCAAGGAGUUUAGAUUUUUAACCUUAGGCCUUGGGGAGCCAUGGAUAUGAUCUGAGAAAGAGAGAUAGUGGAUUUGAGUUUUAGGCUGGCCAUUUGGCUUUUCCAGCCCAGGUGGAACUCAGAAGAGUUUGCAAUGGGGUCUGGCCACAUUUUAGCAGAACUGGCCACAACUGAGCAGAACUUUUUGAAACUAGGAAGACCCUUUGGUCCACCUUUUGAUGAACAGAAUCCGUACAUGCCUACCCCAUUGGAGGUAGCUCUGCACUGACUGGAAAGUAAAGGGGACCAAGGCGACAGUAAAGGCUCGGAAAGGGAGCAAUCUUGAAAACAUGUCAUCCCGUGGUGGUGGGAAGCCCCUGGAGAAAAGACUAGGGGAAACACAGUCAUAGGCUGCAAGUCCACAAGAGAAUUCCACUGGGGAGGGAGCCCAUUUGUCAUGCAUGACUGCAAGGGGGGAGAUACAAGUGUGGAGUAAGCUUGCAAGAGGCUGAUCCUGGUCCCAGAGAGGGAAAAAUAUGCUUUGGUGGGUAAUGAACCUUUUGUUCCCAGAGGCAGAAAGAUUGGGACUAGGCCUACGUAGAGAUUGGCAAUGGUUGUGAGAUUCAAGGAGGGUGUGUGCGCGUGCGUGCAUGUGUGUGUGCAUCUUGACAAUAUUAGAGGAGGCUGAGCCCAAGCAGGCACAUUCUCGUCAACCCCUCCCUCAUUCAGUCUGCUCUUGAGUCUACUGAACAUCAAGCUUGCUAUGAGCAGGAUCUUAGAGCUGAGGAAUUGGCCUCCGAAUCUGAACAGGUGUAGUAAUCCUUUCUUAAUAGGUUGUGCUGUGGACCCAAUGUGAGGGCUAUGCUGGUGUACAUGGUGACAUAUUGAGCUGGGGGAUGCUCUCAGGGUGGGGGACUGCUUCCAUCCCAACAAAGGCCCUCUUGAGAGUCUAUCCAGGGACCCAUUGUUUUACUUUAACAGACCAGAAAAGAUGUUUGUUUUCCACGUCAUUACUUCCAGGGGAUGCUGAAUGUGUGGGCAGAAGUUUCUCUGUAGAUUAAAAAUCAGAUUUUUACUUGGAUUCAGCAAAGGAGUGUCACCUGGAUUUUUGUUUUCACCCAUGAAUGUAGCUGCUUCUGUGUAAAAUACCAUAAAAUACCAUUUUGUUAUUAAAAAUCAAUUCACACUGGAAA
Molecule: non-coding RNA, 10203 nt
Organism: Chlorocebus sabaeus (green monkey)
Lineage: Eukaryota; Metazoa; Chordata; Mammalia; Primates; Cercopithecidae
Source: RefSeq, a predicted model, not a curated record